AAGUACAAAUGCAUAAAUAUAUUUAUAUGUAGGUACAUGCAUACAGAUAAUAGUGUUUGAUAUUAUUUUACUUAUAACUUUAUAACUUGGGGAACAUGAAGAGAGUGAGGGAAGAGGUGAGGUUUGUUUCCAUUGUGAGCAUGAAGAGGACAUGCAGGUUUCUUUCUGUUUCUUUGUGCAGUGCCCAUGAAUGGACCGUGGGGCACUCUGUGAUCCCUUGGGAUCAACGAAUGAAGGUUUCCUAUACUCACUGACACUUGUCCUCUCUCCCCAGUGAAUCAGCCAAUUCCUCAUGUCUUCGCGGCUCCAUCUACUGUCAUGCAGUCAUAGCGCCACAAUUCACAUUUCCCAGGGGCUUUGAAACUAUUUAAUAGAUAAUCCUCAUUCCACUUUAGGAAACCUAGACGUGUAUAAGUAAGCCAGCUGAACUGUGAAUGUAUGAGCAAGUCAGGCCCAGAUCAAUGGAAUCCCACAGAUGCAUGAGAAAUAAAUGCAUGCUAUUGAGAUUUUGUGGUUGUAUGCAACAU
Molecule: long non-coding RNA, 527 nt
Filed under: Homo sapiens (human)
Lineage: Eukaryota; Metazoa; Chordata; Mammalia; Primates; Hominidae
Description: HSALNT0264446
Source: RNAcentral